UGGGGAAUUUUGGACAAUGGGCGAAAGCCUGAUCCAGCCAUGCCGCGUGAGUGAAGAAGGCCUUCGGGUUGUAAAGCUCUUUUAGUCGGAAAGAAAGAGUUGCAAUGAAUAAUUGUGAUUUAUGACGGUACCGACAGAAAAAGCACCGGCUAACUACGUGCCAGCAGCCGCGGUAAUACGUAGGGUGCGAGCGUUAAUCGGAAUUACUGGGCGUAAAGGGCGCGUAGGCGGCGCGGUAAGUCACUUGUGAAAUCUCUGAGCUUAACUCAGAACGGCCAAGUGAUACUGCUGUGCUAGAGUGCGGAAGAGGCAACCGGAAUUCUUGGUGCAGCGGUGAAAUGCGUAGAUAUCAAGAGGAACACCUGAGGCGAAGGCGGGUUGCUGGGCCGACACUGACGCUGAUGCGCGAAAGCCAGGGGAGCAAACG
Molecule: ribosomal RNA, 427 nt
Filed under: uncultured bacterium
Lineage: Bacteria
Description: bacterial SSU rRNA
Rfam family: Bacterial small subunit ribosomal RNA
Source: RNAcentral